CUGCUGCCUCCCGUAGGAGUUUGGGCCGUGUCUCAGUCCCAAUGUGGCCGUUCACCCUCUCAGGCCGGCUACUGAUCGUCGCCUUGGUGGGCCGUUACCCCCUCCAACCAGCUAAUCAGACGCGGGUCCAUCCUGUACCACCGGAGUUUUUCACACUGUACCAUGCGGUACUGUGCGCUUAUGCGGUUUUAGCACCUAUUUCUAAGUGUUAUCCCCCUGUACAGGGCAGGUUACCCACGCGUUACUCACCCGUCCGCCACUAAGAUAAAA
RNAcentral lists this ribosomal RNA (270 nucleotides) under uncultured bacterium. Its description in RNAcentral is "partial 16S ribosomal RNA". The record is from RNAcentral.